GCCUGGGUGGUUCAGUUGUUUGAGCAUCUGACUGUGGCUCAGGUCAUGAUCUCAUGAUUCAUGGGUUCCAGCCCUGUAUCAGGCU
RNAcentral lists this transfer RNA (85 nucleotides) under Felis catus (domestic cat). It matches the Rfam family "tRNA". Rfam says of the family: Transfer RNA (tRNA) molecules are approximately 80 nucleotides in length. Their secondary structure includes four short double-helical elements and three loops (D, anti-codon, and T loops). The record is from Rfam by way of RNAcentral. Lineage: Eukaryota; Metazoa; Chordata; Mammalia; Carnivora; Felidae.